GGAGCGGCAGAGCGGUCAAUCUGGGUGGUCAAACUCAACAACAUACUGAAUUUACAGGGAAAUCGACGGCCUGCAAAGCCGUUUAGGCCGGUUCGACUCCGGCUCGCGCCUCCA
RNAcentral lists this transfer RNA (114 nucleotides) under Burkholderia cenocepacia. Its description in RNAcentral is "tRNA-Cys". Lineage: Bacteria; Pseudomonadati; Pseudomonadota; Betaproteobacteria; Burkholderiales; Burkholderiaceae. The record is from RNAcentral.